UAAGCAUAUUUAAAAUUACCGAUCGUAAACAAAAACAUAGGAGUAUAAAAUUAAUGGAACUCAUGGCUACGCAACUCAACUAGCAUUGGCUACUUAAACAUGGGAGUAUACCAGCUAUGGCUGCUGCUCUUUCCGUUGAAGCUCCCGUCCAACGCCGCAGCAGUUUGUCUGUCACCCCAUGUUCUUCCUUUUCAAUUUCCGUUAAAACUACACCUUUGCUUUCUAAAAACACAAAACCUUUGGGUACUACUGAUCUUUUUUGCUUAAGUUCAUCAAAACCAAUAAUAACUUGUCGCUCUUCAUCUUCUGCAUCUCCUAUUACUGUUGUUAAUGGAGAAAUGGAGAGGAUCAGUGUUGUUCCAGAUGGGAAAGAAACUCGUCUUGGUUUACCAAGUAAAGAUCGUAAUUUGAUUGGUGAAGAUCUGUAUGAGGACUCUCAACUCUCUGUUGGUGAAGUACAUAAUCAACAGUAUGCAGCUGUCACUAUUAUAAAGAAUGAAGAUCUUGAAGAGGUGAGAAAACUUGGUUCCGGAACUUUUGGUCAUGUGUAUCAUGGAAAAUGGAAGGGUGCAUUUGUCGCCAUCAAACGAUUCAAACCGAAUUACUUCGAUCGAUCAUCUGAGGAGCAGAAGAGAUUGAUUGAUGAGUUUUGGCAAGAAGUUUAUAUCCACUUUGAGCUUCGUCAUCCAAAUAUUGUGGCUUUCUAUGGUGUAAUUGUAGAUGGUCCAGGAGGUAGAAUGGCAACUCUAACCGAGUUUAUGGUGGAUGGUUCUCUCAAGCAUGUUUUGGCACACCAGGACAGGAAACUUGAUAGACGUGAGAAGCUCAUAAUAGCUACAGAUGCAGCUAUUGGAAUGGAAUAUUUACAUUCUAAAAAUAUUAUCCAUUUUGAUUUGAAGUCUGCUAAUUUGCUAGUAAACCUGAACGAUCCUUCAAGACCCAUCUGCAAGGUUGGGGAUUUUGGGCUGUCUAAAGAAAAGGGAAUUGCCAUGACUGGUGGUCCAAGGGGCACAUUAGAAUGGAUGGCUCCUGAGUUGUUGAAUGGCAGCAAUAGUAAAAUUUCUGAUAAGGUUGAUGUGUAUUCUUUCGGGAUUGUGUUGUCUGAGAUUGAAACUCGCCUAGUACCUUAUGCAUCCUUGUCUCGGCAAGAAAUUUGUGAUUGAAAGCAAUUUGGAAUAAUGGAUGUUUUGGAACUUACACUAUUAGACUUGGUCUUCCAUGAUAUUCCAAGUGAUGAGCUAGUGUUGAACUUGGAAGAUGGAAGUCUUCUGCUGGUAGGCUUGCUCUUGAAUGGCAUUAUCUUACAGUUGUACAACACUUGUCUUAAUUUUGACUUUAUACAUAGAUGGUAUUGCAAGUAAUAAGCUGAGGCCACCCAUAUCUAGCUUCUGUGACUCAGAGUACAGGAACUUAAUGGAGGAGUGUUGGGCGAUAGACCCCGUGGCUCGGCCAUCCUUUGCAGAAAUAGCUAGGCGACUGCGUGUAAUGUCUGAAGCUGCUGCCUGCUGUUCCAACUAAACCUGAUGAGUGGGAAGGAUAUAAGGAAUGAAUAGUGUCUUACUAUUAUAAUCAGUGAGAAGAUUGACUUACUCAUGGUUAAAUUGAAUUCUGCUGUUUUGUAAUACUACACUGCGGAAACACUCCUUUCUUUUCACUGCUUUAACUUUAUUAGCAUUCUACCUUGUUACCAUUUUAAGAGUGAAUUCAGCCACACGAGGAUUCUAGUUUAGGUGCCUGAAGUUGAUGAAUCCCUCUUAUUAGAGUAACUGCGAGUAGUUAAAGAGAAAAUUCCUGUUAGAGCUCUUAUAUCUGUAAAUUGUUUGUACCAAUCAUGAUAAAAGUUGGAUUAGGAUUAUCCGAACGUUUUUGGGUAAUUCACCAGAUAA
RNA transcript from Papaver somniferum (opium poppy), 1886 nucleotides. It is a transcript of the gene named probable serine/threonine-protein kinase SIS8, with no coding region annotated. The transcript is spliced from 9 exons. The record is from RefSeq and is a predicted model, not a curated record. Lineage: Eukaryota; Viridiplantae; Streptophyta; Magnoliopsida; Ranunculales; Papaveraceae.